UGUUAUGGCAGUCUAUGAUGACCCAGCACAUGUUGUUCGUUUUAAGAAAACUUUCACUGACGAUUUGACAAAACGCAAAGAAGGUACCAAUGUGAGAUUUCUAAAGAUAGCUAUGGCCCUCAACCCAAGGCUUAAGUAUCUGAAGUGCCUUCCAAAAUCUGAGAGGGAUGAGGUGUGGAGCAUGCUUUCAGAAGUCUUAAAAGAACAACAUUCCGAUGC
Chelonia mydas (Green sea turtle) is the source of this 219-nucleotide long non-coding RNA. RefSeq lists it as uncharacterized. The transcript has 3 exons. The record is from RefSeq and is a predicted model, not a curated record. NCBI's taxonomy places the organism in Eukaryota, Metazoa, Chordata, Testudines, Cheloniidae.